This 795-nucleotide ribosomal RNA is filed under the name uncultured archaeon. Its description in RNAcentral is "bacterial SSU rRNA". It matches the Rfam family "Archaeal small subunit ribosomal RNA", at positions 85 to 879 of the family's 1478-position model. The record is from RNAcentral.
ACGGCUCAGUAACACGUGGACAACCUACCCUGAGGUCGGGGAUAAACCCGGGAAACUGGGUAUAAUACCCGAUAGAUCUAGAUUGCUGGAAUGCUUUUAGGUCUAAAGUUCCGACGCCUCAGGAUGGGUCUGCGGCCUAUCAGGGUAGUAGUGGGUGUAACGUACCUACUAGCCCACGACGGGUACGGGUUGUGAGAGCAAGAGCCCGGAGAUGGAUUCUGAGACACGAAUCCAGGCCCUACGGGGUGCAGCAGGCGCGAAACCUUUACAAUGCUGGCAACAGCGAUAAGGGGACCUCGAGUGCUACGAUACAAUCGUGGCUGUCUAGUUGCCUAAAAAGCAAUUGAUAGCAAGGGCCGGGCAAGACCGGUGCCAGCCGCCGCGGUAACACCGGCGGCUCGAGUGGUAACCGCUAUUAUUGGGUCUAAAGGGUCUGUAGCCGGCUUAGUUAGUCUCUUGAGAAAUCUGGCCGCUCAACGGUCAGGCGUUCAGGGGAUACUGCUAAAGCUCGAGACCGGGAGAGGUGAGAGGUACUUCAGGGGUAGGGGUGAAAUCUUGUAAUCCUUGAAGGACCACCAGUGGCGAAGGCGUCUCACCAGAACGGAUCUGACGGCAAGGGACGAAAGCUAGGGGCACGAACCGGAUUAGAUACCCGGGUAGUCCUAGCCGUAAACGAUACUCGCUAGGUGUCGGCCACGGUGCGACCGUGGUCGGUGCCGUAGGGAAGCCGUGAAGCGAGCCACCUGGGAAGUACGGCCGCAAGGCUGAAACUUAAAGGAAUUGGCGGGGGAGCAC